UCUUGGUCAUUUUAGAGGAAGUAAAAGUCGUAACAAGGUUUCCGUAGGUGAACCUGCGGAAGGAUCAUUAACGAGUAACUGAACGGGUUGUAGCUGGCCUCUCGGGGCAUGUGCACACCUGGCUCAUCCACUCUUCAACCUCUGUGCACUUGUUGUAGGUCGGCAGAAGGGCGAGCCUUAAAACAGCUCGCUUGGAAGCCUUCCUAUGUUUUACCACAAACGCUUCAGUUUAAGAAUGUAACCUGCGUAUAACGCAACUAUAUACAACUUUCAGCAACGGAUCUCUUGGCUCUCGCAUCGAUGAAGAACGCAGCGAAAUGCGAUAAGUAAUGUGAAUUGCAGAAUUCAGUGAAUCAUCGAAUCUUUGAACGCACCUUGCGCUCCCUGGUAUUCCGGGGAGCAUGCCUGUUUGAGUGUCAUGGUAUCCUCAUCCUUCAUAACUUUUUGUUAUCGAAGGCAUGGACUUGGAGGUCGUGCUGGUUCCUCGUUGAAUCGGCUCCUCUUAAAUGUAUUAGCGUGAGUGUAACGGAUCGCUUCGGUGUGAUAAUUAUCUGCGCCGUGGUCGUGAAGUAACAUAAGCUUGCGCUUCUAACCGUCCUUAAGCUGGACAACAUAACUUUGACAUCUGACCUCAAAUCAGGUAGGACUACCCGCUGAACUUAAGCAUAUCAAUAAGCGGAGGAAAAGAAACUAACAAGGAUUCCCCUAGUAACUGCGAGUGAACCGGGAAAAGCUCAAAUUUAAAAUCUGGCAGCCUUGGCUGUCCGAGUUGUAAUCUGGAGAAGCGUCUUCCGCGCUGGACCGUGUACAA
Molecule: ribosomal RNA, 811 nt
Filed under: Phanerochaete livescens
Lineage: Eukaryota; Fungi; Basidiomycota; Agaricomycetes; Polyporales; Phanerochaetaceae
Description: eukaryotic LSU rRNA
Rfam family: 5.8S ribosomal RNA (bases 266-419)
Source: RNAcentral